CCGGACACCCUGGACGAGCCGCACCGGGAUAACAAAGCGGCCCGACCCCCAGCCCCA
This 57-nucleotide non-coding RNA is filed under the name unclassified sequences. The record is from RNAcentral.